UGGCGGACGGGUGAGUAACGCGUGGGUAACCUGCCCCAUACAGGGGGAGUAACAGAUAGAAAUGUCUGCUAAUACCGCAUAAGACCACAGCACCGCAUGGUGCAGGGGUAAAAAACUCCGGUGGUAUGGGAUGGACCCGCGUCUGAUUAGCUGGUUGGUGAGGUAACGGCUCACCAAGGCAACGAUCAGUAGCCGACCUGAGAGGGUGACCGGCCACAUUGGGACUGAGACACGGCCCAAACUCCUACGGGAGGCAGCAG
This 260-nucleotide ribosomal RNA is filed under the name uncultured bacterium. RNAcentral describes it as "partial 16S ribosomal RNA". It matches the Rfam family "Bacterial small subunit ribosomal RNA", at positions 96 to 354 of the family's 1533-position model. The record is from RNAcentral.